Molecule: unclassified non-coding RNA, 141 nt
Filed under: uncultured Rozellomycota
Lineage: Eukaryota; Fungi; Rozellomycota
Description: uncultured Cryptomycota sequence contains ITS2
Source: RNAcentral
CUAUCACUGAUCCGAUUGCAUCCACGUGCAGUCAGUCGACAUGGGCCUUCAGCACUGAUCGCCUCGAAUUGCUCGCGAUCGUCGUGGUAGACAGGGAUGUGGCAGCGAUGCCGUCCAGUGUUGUCGACGAUCAAUCCGUGC